GAUGAACGCUGGCGGCGUGCUUAACACAUGCAAGUCGAACGAUGAAGGGGGAGCUUGCUCCUCUGGAUUAGUGGCGAACGGGUGAGUAACACGUGAGCAAUCUGCCCCUGACUCUGGGAUAAGCGCUGGAAACGGCGUCUAAUACCGGAUACGAGCCGAGCAGGCAUCUGCAUCGGUUGGACAGAACUUCGGUCAGGGAUGAGCUCGCGGCCUAUCAGCGUGUUGGUGAGGUAAUGGCUCACCAAGGCGACGACGGGUAGCCGGCCUGAGAGGGUGACCGGCCACACUGGGACUGAGACACGGCCCAGACUCCUACGGGAGGCAGCAGUGGGGAAUAUUGCACAAUGGGCGGAAGCCUGAUGCAGCAACGCCGCGUGAGGGACGAAGGCCUUCGGGUUGUAAACCUCUUUUAGCAGGGAAGAAGCGAGAGUGACGGUACCUGCAGAAAAAGCACCGGCUAACUACGUGCCAGCAGCCGCCGUAA
This 484-nucleotide ribosomal RNA is filed under the name uncultured bacterium. RNAcentral describes it as "partial 16S ribosomal RNA". It matches the Rfam family "Bacterial small subunit ribosomal RNA", at positions 28 to 523 of the family's 1533-position model. The record is from RNAcentral.